AUCCUCGUUUCGCUGCCAGGUGCCCGCCGCAAGGCGGGAGAAUCGGGAACACGGUUGAAAUCCGUGGCGUGCCCAGCGCUGUAAGGGGGACCAUUCCGGUCAAUGCCACUGCCCUUCAGGCGGGAAGGCGCCGGAGCGGGAUGAACCCAAGCCAGAAGACCGGCCCGGCAGACAUGGUCCCC
This 182-nucleotide non-coding RNA is filed under the name Mesorhizobium sp. Root554. Lineage: Bacteria; Pseudomonadati; Pseudomonadota; Alphaproteobacteria; Hyphomicrobiales; Phyllobacteriaceae. RNAcentral also lists the same sequence under 1 other name. The record is from RNAcentral.